RNAcentral lists this unclassified non-coding RNA (556 nucleotides) under Hevea brasiliensis (rubber tree). The record is from RNAcentral. Lineage: Eukaryota; Viridiplantae; Streptophyta; Magnoliopsida; Malpighiales; Euphorbiaceae.
GAGUCCCCACCCAGACAUGGCUGAUUGAAAAUUGUAUCACAAAGAAUGAGAACAUUUUAAAAGAUCUAAAACACCAAAAAGAAAAUAAGUAUGAAGUAAUAGUAUGGUUCAAAUGCAAGGCAAAGAGUCAUACUGCAUCACGCUGAUUAAACAAUUCAAAUUUGGGUUAGAUGUAUUGUUUUGCUAAAACAAGGUAUGGUCAAAUAUCAAAAUUUUGCAGUAAAUAUCAAAAUUUUGCAGUGAAUAUCAGAGUUUUAUUUUAUGAACUUUCUGCAGCAAGGGAUAGCAUGGGAGAUCUUACUACAAUGAACGAGAAUACUUCAUGCCUGGGAAAGAUUUGUUAUAGGGCACUUAGCAUCAAGAUUAGAAAUUGUUUCACAGUGAAAGAAAUCAUUUAAAUCAUGUAAAGGGACUAAAGGAUUCAUCUUGGAACUGAGGCUGCGUAUACAACAUUUUGAUUUUGCUAUCACGUAGAGAUGGAACUCAAAAAAAUUCCAAGAAAGCAUCUAUUACCUAAAUUUUUACAAAUGUCAUCUUAAACUAUUACCUGAAGAAG